This 58-nucleotide transfer RNA is filed under the name Asteromyia carbonifera. RNAcentral's name for it is "tRNA-Leu". The record is from RNAcentral. Lineage: Eukaryota; Metazoa; Arthropoda; Insecta; Diptera; Cecidomyiidae.
UUAUUUUUUUUUAUGUCAGAACUAAUGAAAUGAACUUAAAAUUCAUAAAUAAUAAAUA